Long non-coding RNA from Carassius gibelio (silver crucian carp), 861 nucleotides. RefSeq lists it as uncharacterized. The record is from RefSeq and is a predicted model, not a curated record. Lineage: Eukaryota; Metazoa; Chordata; Actinopteri; Cypriniformes; Cyprinidae. The transcript is spliced from 5 exons.
UAACCAAUACAACAGUACAACAGUAAUUGUGGUUUUUGAUGUGCUUUUAUAUUACAGAUAUCACACAUUUACUGUACCAUGCUUUUGAUACAUUUUUAUGUAAAUCCAAAAAAAAGUAAAUAAAUAAAAGGACACAUUUUUCCCUUCCUGCAGUUCAUUCAUAUCAGUUUAUAUUUUAAAUAUUUUGCUCACAAAACAUUAUUAAAAUUCUGUUUAUAAUUCUAUUUUAUUCUACCCCUCCCCCUUUCUUAUUUUUAUUAUUUAUGUAUUUUUUUUUAGCUGAAAAGAUGUAAAGGAAGCAGUCAUCCCUGUGGUGUUUGUGGAGAGGUAUUUUUUCAGAAAUGGAGAAGACAGAAAGCUGCGGAGGCAGACAUUUGCAGCAGAUUGUUUGCAGAUAAUGCUGUUCAAGCUCAACAGCUCUUUUAAGAGCCAACCCUCACAAACCUUCCUAAAAACUAAAAGAGCUAUUACUGAGUCUCAGCGAAUCUUGCCAUGAUCAGCUCUUCCCAGAAGAGAAGGAAGACCAAGGAAAUGAUUUGCUCAGGAUGAGGAAUGAAGACGGCCAUCUUAAGCCCAAACAAAGACAGAAGUCCUCUGAUGAUCUCAUCAGCCAAAUGGGGGGUUUUGACCAAGUGAUGCUCUUGAAAGGACUGAAAGAAGAGGAUGUGGUAAAUUGUCUUCAGAGAAAAACCUUCUCUAAAGGUCUUAAAACAGCUUGAAGAAUGGUCUGGGAUGUUAGGACUGAGAGAUCCUCUGGCUGAGAAAAGGCUACACCACAUCAGUGCUGGAUAUCAACCACAAACUGUUUCCAGACACGAGAGAAGAAGAUCAUGAUGGGGAGAUGAAACCAGUUUAGAUGUG